GCAGCUGGAUUAACCAAACAGUCAGAAGCGAAGUCGGUGCCAAAUUUUCAGGAAUUAACCUAUCGUUUGCUAGGGUUCCCGUUUACUUGGUUUUUUUUUUAUUAGCUAUUUAUUAUUGGAUUUUGUUUCUGUCGGGUAAGGAUAGGAAGACUUUGUUUCUACUUGAGGCAAAGAUAAAGAUCCUGCAAGAUGAGUUCUCGUUCGAAUCACAUUUUAGCUGAUCUGGAUAUAGAAAGCGUCUUACAAUGCCCAGUUUGCUUUGAAAUUCCACCAUCAAUUAUUUUUAUGUGUAAAGUUGGGCAUCACAUGUGUGAAAGGUGUAGAUUGAGACUUCAAACAUGUCCAACGUGCAAGGCAUCGAUAACUAGCUGUCGAAAUUAUCUAGCAGAAUCACUGACAAACAAGUUCUCAAUCCUAUUAAAAGGUAGUGGAGAUGGAGAUGUGAUAAAUAAUUUGAAUGAACAAAUCAACGUCUACUUAAAUAAAAAAGCAAUCAGUGAACGAGUGAAUCAACUCAAACAACUGCCAAACCCCACAGGAAUGUACAAGUGUUUGUUAGAAUCAUGUUGUAACAGAAAAGAAAUGGCUGUCACACUUAUGUUUCCACACAUUAAGAAAGUACAUCCACACCUAUUUGACACGUUCAAGAACACAACUGCUACAUUCACACACAAGUUUGAGAACUUCUGCUACAGAAAACACCAGACAAAAUAUCAUCGAGCUUUUAGUGUAACAAACUUGGGAUUGUUCUUCCUCAACCUUGAAACGGUGCCGGAUCAAUACAUUAACUGUUGGAUCUCUGUACCAGCCCCAUUAAAACAAUGCUCUCUUUUCCAAUGUGAAUUGGUGUUUACCAAAGAACUCGACAACACCAAAAAUUUGAUUUUCAGUAGCAAGGUGGGGUCAAACUCUUAUGGAAAAGAAAAGGCAUUCGAGACUGGAAAAGUCUUCGUCAUACCACCAGAAGACCACUUGAUGAAGGAUGGUGAAUUCUUCUCUAUAAACGUCAAGAUUGUGUACACAAAACCAAAGGAAAACCCGAAGCCAACAUCAUAAGAGGAGGAAAUGAAUAAUGCAACCAAAAAAUUGCUCAAGUCUACUAAUCAUACCUAACAACUAUAAGUGAACGUGACUGAUCUUAGAAAACGAUCAUAGAAUUUUAUGAGGUCCAGCGGAAUCAUAAGGGGUUCUACUGCAUUUUACAUUCAACUAGUAUUUUACGAGUUGACAUUAGUUUUUUAAAUGUUAAACACUGUUUAUUUACCUGUUUUGUAAAUUAUCAAAGGGUUUGUUUGCAGUAAUAAAUUUAAGUGCAAUUUUAUUUUUAAGCUUUUUAUUGUAUUUAGUAUUUAGUAUUAUUUUGUGUAGCCGAUUGUCAGGCCCCCAAUUUGCAUGUGACACGCUAUGGGCCUGAGAGAUAUUUGCCCCUCCCACCCCCCUCCUUGCGAGGGAAUUGUUCUCGCUAACUUUUGCGCCUCUGGGUUCGAGGCUAUUUAUUUAAGAGGCCCUGCCUAUUGUUUUAUACAAUUUACUGACUUUAUGAUUGUGCUUUGCUCUGAGAAUAAUACCUAAAACAUCCACAAGAACAUAAAUACAGAAUCUUAAUAUGUCUAGAUAGUUUUCACUACACUAAAUUUUUUAUCUAUUGGUCUUAUCAUGCAUGAAUUUAGUCCGGGAAACAGCUGUUUAACCGCCUUCUUAACCAAAUGAGAUUUCAGUACGUAAUACUAUAGAUAAAACAUACUCCCUUAGUAGUUUUGUCAUUAUUAUGGAACAGCUGAAGCCAAUUUUAUUGUUAGUUCUGUACGUCCAACUGUAGAGGUUGUGUUUUGUUUACAAUUUGUUUCUUGUUAUUUCAGUAAUUUAAAACCUCAUUUAACCAAAUAAAAUGAUAUAAUCAUAAACAAUGACUGUUCUCCAAGUUAUAUACCCAAAUAAUAAAGCACAAAUCUUGAUAAUAACCCUAAAAUUAUAGAAACAAAAUUUCGUCUUCCCCAGUGAUCAGUCUGGACAUACAUGAACUAGACACGAAAAACUAGCUUCAAAAUUUACAAUGGGAUGAGGAGUCUACUUUUGUUGCUUAGUCUAUGGUAAUACUGUACAUUAACAAAUUUUACCAGGCACCAGCUGAUUAUAUUUGGCAGUGAGGGGUUUCAAACAAAAACAAACCCUCCUUAGAAGUUAUCAGGAGUUAUUGUCAACAAGUUAUUUAGUCGGUGGGGAUUUGUACAGUUUUUUUUUAAAUUGUGUAGUAUGGGUAAAAAUAACAAACAUCACUCUUCCUAAAUGUGCUUACCAUACUUGCUGAUAAACAUCUAUUUUCCGGACUAGUAGUGACGUAAUAUACUAUUACAGAUCUUUUACUUGGUUAACAUUGAACCAAUAUUCCAGUAAAUCGUGCUUCAGUAUUCAUAUUUUAAUGAAUUAUAAUUAUUGAAUAAAUUAGUGAAUAUAGUUAGUUAUUUUAGAUGAGUGGGUAGCUCCACGGACUUUCAGCCAGUGACAGCAAGGUCUAGGGUUCGGAUCUUGGUUCCUACCAAUACAUUUGACCUACAACCAUUUUUGAAUUUAGCCUUUUCAGUUCAGUUCAAUUCUUAGAAUUGCAAAUAUUCUUUUUUUACAUAAUUGUUUACUUACUUUACAGCAUUGUUUUCUUACUUUCAACACUUGAAAUGGACUAAUGCGGUUUGAGGAUUGAGAGAAAAGAAGUAACAUUGUAAUGCUUCGAACAUGAACUUAUCAGCUGUUACCAUUUGUAAUGAGUGGUUGGUACAACGAGUCGUUGCAUCAUUAUCAGUGACAAUGAGAGGUUAUAAACAAAAACGUAACCCCUCUUAAAAGUUGUGAUCAGUGAUUGAGCUAGUAGGCCUAGUUAAAAAAUUGUCUUAGCUAAAGUUGUGUACUUAACUCGUGUAAAGACUAUCUUUACGUGAUUGUUGCGUAAACUACUAUUUUACUACACUUCACCCUUGUACUUUAUACUUUAAUAUUUUUCAAUGAAAUUGCGACCAUAAAAAGUAGGUAUUUUAAGCCAAGUAUGAAUGGAUAUGAGUGUAGGAUGAGUGGCGCGAUCUUGUAGUCUUGUUAGUGACUAAGGCCGACAUAUUCCUACGAACCACAUUUUUGCCUUGGUAUUUAUGAAUUGGUCUAGUUAUCAGUAUAGUACUGUGGAUAGUCGUAGUACUCACUAGUGUGGAUGUUAAUCCACACCAGGGAGUAUGGCAUCCACAGUGCAUGCCUAUAAAUAUCUACAAUUCGUGACCUCCUAGUAGCUGGAUUACAGGACGACGCCACCGUCCCAGUCUCACCCAUAUAUAGGCUCACCCAUACUUAGCUGGAUAUCUUACUACACACAGGUCCAUAGCCUAUGUUGACAGGCAAAUGCAAGGUUAAAAGAGGUCGCCAACCUCUAUGCAAACUUCCCAUAUAGGGAAUAUGCUAUUUUUAAAUUUACAUAAAAAAAUAUAAUGAUACCAUUAUCAGAUGUUUGCAAUAUUAUCUUGUUAAAUUAUCAAUUGCAAUAUACUUGGACCAAUUUGUAAAGAAAGAUGUAUAGGGUGUCCCACGAAGGGGUUUAAACGUUUGAUUUUAUAUUACGCGCCCAUUCAUGCACCGAAAUUUUUAAAACUUUACACAGUUUACAAAGUAGGUUCUAAAAAUAUUCUGGAAAAAUUUCAACUCCCUAACCUUAGUAGAAACAAAAUGGCGGCAUAUUGAAAAGGUUACUUUAAAAACGUUAAAAAAGGUAUUUUUGGUUUUAUAAAAUAUUUUUAUUGUUACUUUCCAGGGUAAUAUGACUUUUAAACAAUGAAAAAUUAGAACAUAGCCAAAUGGAAAUCUAAAAAUUAAUCAAAUAACUAGUAAAUAAUAAUAAUAAAUAAAUAACUAAUAAUAAAUCAUGAAAGUAGUUUUUAUAGAAAGCACAUUGGUAAAUUUGUCAAUAAGCCGCCAUUUUGUUUCUACUAAGGUUAGGGAGUUGAAAUUUUUCCAGAAUAUUUUUAGAACCUACUUUGUAAACUGUGUAAAGUUUAAAAAGGUUCGGUGGAUAAAUGGGCACGUAAUAUAAAAUCAAACGUUUAAACCCCUUCGUGGGACACCCGGUAUAAGUAAAUGUUAACUACUUAGUAAGAAAUGUAUAUGUUUUAUGGGAUUAAAUUAAG
This is an RNA transcript of Macrosteles quadrilineatus (aster leafhopper), 4160 nucleotides long. RefSeq lists it as uncharacterized. The record is from RefSeq and is a predicted model, not a curated record. Lineage: Eukaryota; Metazoa; Arthropoda; Insecta; Hemiptera; Cicadellidae. The transcript has 5 exons.